RNAcentral lists this unclassified non-coding RNA (445 nucleotides) under Zanha africana. Its description in RNAcentral is "partial external transcribed spacer". Lineage: Eukaryota; Viridiplantae; Streptophyta; Magnoliopsida; Sapindales; Sapindaceae. The record is from RNAcentral.
GCGUGUGAGUGGUGAUCGGAUGGCGUGGGUUUGCAGGCUCCUUGCUUGUGCAUCGAACUGUAAGCUCUCCUUCCUCUUCAUAGUUUUCCCCAAGCAUGCUUGCCGUCUUGCGGGUUCAAUCGGUAUCCUGUAUUGUUUACCAAUACAACGGAAUUUGAUGGUUCGGACGCUUACAUCCAUUCGGCACCCGUUAGGGUGUUGGGUGGACAACGGCUUGGCCUCGUGUUCCCGGCACGCCUUGCCUUGUUGUUUGGCUGCCGCGGUGCAUGGGGUUGUGCCCGUUCUCUCGGAUGCGGAUCGUUGCCUGUGGGCUGGGGGUUACGGCCUCCAUCUGCCCGCGCUAUGCAUUUGUCCCUUGACACGAACGACUGCCGCACUCGUCUUGGUUGGAGAGUUGCACGGCUCUCCGAGGGCCCAUGCGGGUGUUGGCGUCGUUUAGGAAUGC